AACAGGAUUAGAUACCCUGGUAGUCCACGCCGUAAACGAUGUCGACCAGCCGUUGGGUGCCUAGCGCACUUUGUGGCGAAGUUAACGCGAUAAGUCGACCGCCUGGGGAGUACGGCCGCAAGGUUAAAACUCAAAUGAAUUGACGGGGGCCCGCACAAGCGGUGGAGCAUGUGGUUUAAUUCGAUGCAACGCGAAGAACCUUACCUACUCUUGACAUCCUGCGAAUUUGGUAGAGAUACCUUAGUGCCUUCGGGAACGCAGAGACAGGUGCUGCAUGGCUGUCGUCAGCUCGUGUUGUGAAAUGUUGGGUUAAGUCCCGUAACGAGCGCAACCCUUGUCCUUAUUUGCCAGCGCGUAAUGGCGGGAACUCUAAGGAGACUGCCGGUGACAAACCGGAGGAAGGUGGGGACGACGUCAAGUCAUCAUGGCCCUUACGAGUAGGGCUACACACGUGCUACAAUGGUCGGUACAAAGGGUUGCCAACUCGCGAGAGUGAGUCAAUCCCGAAAAGCCGAUCUCAGUCCGGAUCGGAGUCUGCAACUCGACUCCGUGAAGUCGGAAUCGCUAGUAAUCGUGGAUCAGAAUGCCACGGUGAAUACGUUCCCGGGCCUUGUACACACCGCCCGUCACACCAUGGGAGUGGACUGCACCAGAAGUGGUUAGCCUAACGCAAGAGGGCGAUCACCACGGUGUGGUUCAUGACUGGGGUGAAGUCGUAACAAGGUAACC
Molecule: ribosomal RNA, 729 nt
Filed under: uncultured bacterium
Lineage: Bacteria
Description: bacterial SSU rRNA
Rfam family: Bacterial small subunit ribosomal RNA
Source: RNAcentral